GGGCAGAGCAGCAAGGUGUGCUCAAUCGUCUCCGGUUCCUGCUUACAUAUUGGGCAUAAGGGAUCAGGAUUUUUGAUUUUGGGGAUAAGAAUAAUCUGGGUUCUAUUCAUGGCUGGGUUGAUAGUUCCCAUUUCAAAGAAAAGCUGCACUUCCCUAAGAAUGUCUUCGCCUAUGUCGUGCCAGUGCUGCUGAAAAAAGAGGCCAUUCAGACCAUCUGGGCCGGGAGCUUUGGUGGCACCCAAUUGGCUGAAAAUUCCGAGGACCUGUUGAAGUAUACAAGUUGCUGAAGAAUUCCAUCGUCAUGUGUUUGAGGGUCUGAUUGUCCCUCACCCAGUCUCCUUCUUCAGUCAUCAGCAUGGGCUGUUCAUCCGAUAUUGGAGCUCAUUUUUCAGGCCUUCGAUUUUUUUAUAUGCGUUGGGGAAUCGGUUUUUACUCCAGGCCUCUAAUCGAGUAGCC
Molecule: long non-coding RNA, 456 nt
Organism: Eucalyptus grandis
Lineage: Eukaryota; Viridiplantae; Streptophyta; Magnoliopsida; Myrtales; Myrtaceae
Exons: 4
Source: RefSeq, a predicted model, not a curated record